RNAcentral lists this ribosomal RNA (252 nucleotides) under uncultured bacterium. RNAcentral describes it as "partial 16S ribosomal RNA". It matches the Rfam family "Bacterial small subunit ribosomal RNA", at positions 524 to 776 of the family's 1533-position model. The record is from RNAcentral.
UACGGAGGAUGCGAGCGUUAUCCGGAUAUAUUGGGUUUAAAGGGUGCGCAGGCGGUCUGUUAAGUCAGCGGUCAAAGCCCGGGGCUCAACCCCGGCCCGCCGUUGAAACUGCCAUGCUGGAGUGCCGGAGAGGUAAGCGGAAUUCCUAGUGUAGCGGUGAAAUGCGUAGAUAUUAGGAGGAACACCAGUGGCGAAGGCGGCUUGCUGGACGAUGACUGACGCUGAGGCACGAAAGCGUGGGUAUCGAACAGG